AGAGAUGCAUUGGGCGUAAAGUGUGCGCAGGCGGUUUUGUAAGACAGAGGUGAAAUCCCCGGGCUCAACCUGGGAACUGCCUUUGUGACUGCAAGGCUGGAGUGCGGCAGAGGGAGAUGGAAUUCCGCGUGUAGCAGUGAAAUGCGUAGAUAUGCGGAGGAACACCGAUGGCGAAGGCAAUCCCCUGGGCCUGCACUGACGCUCAUGCACGAAAGCGUGGGGAGCAAACA
This 230-nucleotide ribosomal RNA is filed under the name uncultured Alicycliphilus sp. RNAcentral's name for it is "partial 16S ribosomal RNA". It matches the Rfam family "Bacterial small subunit ribosomal RNA", at positions 548 to 774 of the family's 1533-position model. The record is from RNAcentral. Lineage: Bacteria; Pseudomonadati; Pseudomonadota; Betaproteobacteria; Burkholderiales; Comamonadaceae.